UUCUGCAGGAAAUAUUAGCCUAGUGGUAAGAGAUUGGCCUGAAGAUUGUCCAAACUGGAAAGUGACUUUGGUGAAGUGGCAUUCUAAUCUGUAGCUAUAUUUUUCUUUUUUAGUUUUUUUUUUAUUGCCACUUGUUCUGAGGCUUGACCAGUGUGAGGGUCUCCCAAUGAGAAGCAUUUAAUGGUUUGCAUUGCAAGUUAGAAUGAUACACCUGAGAGGGGGAAAAGACAAGAGGAAGAGUGGAACUGGGACUUGUCUCAUUGUCCCCUUGAUUAGCAUCUCAAAGCAAUAUGUGAUUGUAAAGGUUUUGCUAUAUAUAGCUUUUUUCAAUUUGAUCAAACUGGAUGGUAAUUGAGAUUAGAAGCCCAGAUUCAAAAUCA
This 380-nucleotide long non-coding RNA is filed under the name Glycine max (soybean). RNAcentral's name for it is "long non-coding RNA (GMAX_LNC000342)". The record is from RNAcentral. Lineage: Eukaryota; Viridiplantae; Streptophyta; Magnoliopsida; Fabales; Fabaceae.